UUGCUUGUUGGUAAACAUAAACAACUGAAAAAUGCCUUCUGGUAAAUUAAACAUAUUUAUCAAUUUUAAAGAAUCUGCAAAUAUUUCCACAUCGUAGUCCGGUUAAAUUAUCCUAGUUUUCAUCGAAUGCCAAACAAGUUAGCUUUUCGUCUUCUGACGCUUGGUGGGAAAUUUUUCUGGAUUGACGUGGAUAUGUUUUUUAAUUGUUUUUUGUUAUCUAAUACAGAAUAAACUCCUUAAAUUUGACAAUAAAACAUCUAAAUUUGGGAUUCCAAGAUUUGGUUUCUCUUAU
Eupeodes corollae is the source of this 292-nucleotide long non-coding RNA. RefSeq lists it as uncharacterized. NCBI's taxonomy places the organism in Eukaryota, Metazoa, Arthropoda, Insecta, Diptera, Syrphidae. The record is from RefSeq and is a predicted model, not a curated record. The transcript is spliced from 2 exons.